GGUGGCUCAGUGGUAGAGUGCUUGCCUUGCAUGCAACAAGGCCCUGGGUUCAAUUCCUCAGCACCA
Molecule: transfer RNA, 66 nt
Filed under: Dipodomys ordii (Ord's kangaroo rat)
Lineage: Eukaryota; Metazoa; Chordata; Mammalia; Rodentia; Heteromyidae
Rfam family: tRNA
About the family: Transfer RNA (tRNA) molecules are approximately 80 nucleotides in length. Their secondary structure includes four short double-helical elements and three loops (D, anti-codon, and T loops). Further hydrogen bonds mediate the characteristic L-shaped molecular structure. tRNAs have two regions of fundamental functional importance: the anti-codon, which is responsible for specific mRNA codon recognition, and the 3' end, to which the tRNAs corresponding amino acid is attached (by aminoacyl-tRNA synthetases). tRNAs cope with the degeneracy of the genetic code in two manners: having more than one tRNA (with a specific anti-codon) for a particular amino acid; and 'wobble' base-pairing, i.e. permitting non-standard base-pairing at the 3rd anti-codon position.
Source: Rfam by way of RNAcentral